CUUUUCCAUUGUUGCAGUAUAAAAUAGCACACCAUCCAAAUACUAGUUCAUCAAUUGGAGUAAAAAUAAGACAGAUACCAAACGUGUGUCAUUUAGUAUCAAAGAAAGAACUUUAUAAUGAUUUCACUCCGUAUUAAGUAACAGCUUAAUCAGCUAAAUUAUACAAGAACACAGAAAGCUGAAUUUCAUAAUUUUAGGCUAUGUUUAGUAAAUUGUAAUAUAAUCUAAUACAAUCAAAUUUUUUUGUUGAGAUUCAAUAGAAAAUUUGAUCAUAUUACAUUAUAUUUCGGCCUAUCAAACUCAGCAUUAAUUCGUUGGAAGUGCCAUAUCUUCACAUGAUCCAACAGUGUAAAAGACUUUUGUCAUUCCCUUCUUUGACCGCAUUUGAGAAACCUGAACAAUAUACAACCCACAUAAAAAAUAAAAAUAAGCACUGAAAUACGCGAUCCAUAUUUUAAUAUUCCAAGUCAGAAACAUACUUUCAGCCCUUCAUAUAAUAAAACUCCAUUGCAGUUGCAAAAAAUCAAUGAGUUUCAUAAUCUAAUCAUCACAAUUAUUUUAUUCCCCUUCUUUUCCCGUUCUAGUUAUUCUGAACAAGUUGUAUUCUUGUGUUGGGCACCACAAUUGUAUGCCAUUUUCAUUGUCCCAGAUGCAUAGGCAAACAUAAAUACUGAUGACCCAAAAUGUACAGAACAUCAGGGAUGAACACAUACACUCAAAAACAAUGAAACCAUGGUAUUCUAUAGAUGGUGGGAAAGAAAUAUAUAACACACACACAUAUCCUCAACAUGGAAUGCCAACUAUUAUAAAUAUACAAUCUAGAUGCUUAACAGUUGAAUCAGUUCACUUUACCUUCAUACUUAUGAUCUCUGAAAUGUCAGAAACAUGGGUACCACCACAAGGACAGCCAGGAAAGUUUCCUAACUUCACAAUGCGAGGAGUGCUGCCCUUGGGAAUAUAAUCAGGAAGGUAACCACCACACAAAGCAGAAGCUUCUUCAUAUGGCAAUACAGCAGCAGAAACUAUGCCUCCUGUAGAUAUUAACUCAUUGGCUUCUACCUCUAACUCUUUUUGCUUGUUUUGCAAUUCAUUUUGAGGAACUGUACCUUUAUAUUCAACGAAAGGCCCAUCUGGAAAAUGGUAGGCUUUUGCUGGUUCUAGAUGACCCAAUCCCACAUUCAGCAAGCAUCCAUCCAGCAAAUGCCCAGCUGAAUGCAACCUGAAUGAUAUGAAGAAAAUUGCAUAAAAGAAUGGGACAGACUAAGUGAAGAUAGCAAAUGAACAGUAAAAAAAUCGAGUCAUGUUAAGAACAGCACCCUCUCUAAUACAUAAUGAGCUUAACAUUAUUAAAAUCCCCUGUCAAAGUAGAGUGCCCACAAGUGAAAUGAUAGUUUUCAACAACAACCACCCUGCCCAUCCAACAAGAUAAUCUUUUUUUUAACAAUAAUCAAGCUAUAAUAAUAAAUAUAGUAUCAAUGUAAUUAGUGAUGAGUAGAAUCACUUCGUCAAAAUUAGAUUGUUUGUAACUGGGUGGAGUAGAAUUUUAAAACUCGAAAUAAAAUUAAGCUUACCUCAUCUUCGCUUACAUAGUUGCAGUUCUUGGUGAUCUUUCUCCUUCUUCAUUUAAAUUCCAAUAACAAAUUUUGGAUUCGAGAAGAAUUCUCUAACUUUAUCAAUUAUUCUAGAAAGCUUGUUCAGUUUCAGAGGCCAACUAUAUUCAAUAUCAAUAAUUAAGUUUGUUGCAAUAAAGUUCAAAACAUUUGUACCACAGGCUACUAAGAUUAAAGUCAUAUAAUCAAGGCAAAUUUAAGAGCAUCUUAAGUUAAUUAUAUAUUAAAAAGAAGGAAGUCCAAGUAAACUCCUGAAAAUUACUAUUUCAUAAAUAAUUAAAAUUUGACACACCUGGAAUUCAGCUUUCUCCUACACUCAUCAACAUGCAACAGAACUUCCCUCCCCUUCUCAAGGAAAUCCCUACCAGAAUCCUCCUCCUCCAUGACUCCGUAAUGAUAAACCUAUGAAAGCCCAAACAAAUAUUCAAGAAAUAAAAAAGAAGAAAAGAGGAAGACAAAUUUCAAAGAUAAUAGAGAAAGUUGCUACAAUUCCGUCCUUGGAUCUAACAUCUUGAACGAUGAAUUUAAAGUUGGAAUCAUCAGUAGCAGCGGUGAUGAAUCCAGUGUCCGCCGGCUGGCCUCCACCUUGAGGGUGAAAGAUCGUGGAGUCCAAUAUCAAAGCAAGCCUACCAUCGUCUCCCUAUCAAAUUCAGGGAAAAAAAAAAGGAAAAUGAGAUUACAGCUUAGCAAUUAAAGCUAAAAAGUAAGAGAUCAAUAAGGGAUGGAAGGAGCAGACUUUAGAGAAGGAAAUGAGAGUUGUUUUGGAUUGAAGUUUCCACAUAUCAUCAUAGUAUUCCAGUUUUGUUCUUGAGACGCUCGAAUCCAUGGAGUCUGUCACGGUCUUAACGACUUCAACACUAAUUUAGUCUUGGGGUGGGACUAAGUCAGCCUCUACCAAGUUAGUCCAACAGAUUAGAGACUAACAAGGGUGACGGAACUCUCAAGAAGGCGCUGGAGUUUCCUAGCACCCGCUAGGCCUGAUAGGCGAGGAGCGUGGGGGCGAGCACUCUAGAAUGGGAGAGAGAGUGCUGGCACCGGGUGGAAACUUGCAGCAGGGACUGGAGAGCUCCAGCAGGUUCCGAGCAUUAGGGGGACAGCUUGGUCAAAGAAGGUGUCAGAAGACGGCUUAGCUGCGGGAUUGACUCUCUCCUAAAACUCUGGUGUUAGUGGUGCUGAAUAUUUUGGUAGAGAAUUCUAGACUUGCUUGGGCAUCAUUCAAGUCCCUCCUUCCAGGAAGCUUCCUCGGGUGCAUAAUGUGGAGAAGGGAUUGACUCGCGCGGCAGCCCAGCAACGCAAGCCCAGCUUGCUUAGCUGAGGAAUUGGCCCAAUCUAACCUCGUUAGCUGCGAGAAUUGCCCCAGGCAAAGCAGAAAAUUUUGGAAUUUGAGGGAGCUCUUCAUAGAGGCGAGUCGCUGGCAAUGCUGAAAUAAUCUGC
This 3044-nucleotide unclassified non-coding RNA is filed under the name Hevea brasiliensis (rubber tree). The record is from RNAcentral. Lineage: Eukaryota; Viridiplantae; Streptophyta; Magnoliopsida; Malpighiales; Euphorbiaceae.